AGUAAUCGCGGAUCAGCACGCCGCGGUGAAUACGUUCCCGGGCCUUGUACACACCGCCCGUCACGCCAUGGGAGUCGGCAGCACCCGAAGUCGGUGUCCCAACCCCGCACCCACUUUGGUCUUAUGGAGAAAGCGUUACCAUAAGUCUCGUGAGGCCAAAGUGGGUGCGGGGAGGGAGCCGCCGAAGGUGAGGCCGAUGACUGGGGCGAAGUCGUAACAAGGUAGCCGUACCGGAAGGUGCGGCUGGAUCACCUCCUUUCUA
The sequence is a ribosomal RNA, 262 nucleotides long. It matches the Rfam family "Bacterial small subunit ribosomal RNA", at positions 1337 to 1533 of the family's 1533-position model.